Molecule: ribosomal RNA, 1284 nt
Filed under: Triticum aestivum (bread wheat)
Lineage: Eukaryota; Viridiplantae; Streptophyta; Magnoliopsida; Poales; Poaceae
Description: partial small subunit ribosomal RNA
Source: RNAcentral
CUAAUAUCGGAAAAUCAAAGUGCAUUCAUUCCGGGCAGGCUUAUUACGGAUAACUCGAUUAUUGCCUUCGAAUGUAUCCAUCAUAUACAAUCUGUUAAGGAAAAUUCACCGGCUUUGUGUGCUUACAAGCUUGACCUUUCGAAGGCAUAUGACCAAGUUGAUUGGGACUCUCUUGUGAGGGCUCUUCUCAAAUGGGGCUUCUCCCAGUUCUGGGUCUCUCGUGUUAUGGCGUGUGUAUCAUCUGUUAAAUACUCUGUCAAGUUCAAUGGCAAGCUACUGGAAUCUUUUACCCCGUCCCGGGGUCUCCAGCAAGGUGAUCCGUUAUCCCCCUUUCUUUUCCUUUUUGUUGCGGAUGCUCUAUCAAGGUUGAUCAAUAAAUCUAUGGAAGAGGAUGGAUUAAAGGUGAAAAUUUGUAGAGGUGCUCCGGAAAUAUCCCAUCUUUUAUUCGCGGAUGAUUCACUCUUGUUUUUUCAAGCUUCUGAAUAGCAGGCAAUUUUGGUUAAAGGUUUGUUGAACACUUAUGCGGUGGCUACUGGCCAAUUAAUAAAUCCUUCAAAGUGCUCCAUCCUUUUUUCAGAUCAUUGCUCGCCCACAGUUGCUUCUAAUGUUAAGGGUGUUCUGGAAAUUACACAGGAGGUCUUCGAGCCUAAGUAUCUAGGCCUCCCUGUGCCAGAGGGAAGAAUGCAUAAGGGUAAUUUUGAAACUAUCCAAGAAAGAUUAAGGAAGAGGUUAAUCGACUGGAGUGAGCAAUAUAUGUCAUCAGGUAAGGAGAUUUUAAUUAAAUCAGUUGCUCAAGCUAUACCAAUAUAUGUCAUGAGUGUUUUCAAACUCCCAGCAUCGAUUUGUGAUGAGUUAACCCGCAUGAUGCGUCAGUACUGGUCGGGAGUUGACAAGGGGAAGCGUAAAAUGGCAUGGCUGAGUUGGGACAAAAUGCGCCUACCCAAAUCUAUGGGAGGCAUGGGCUUCAGGGAUAUGCGGGCUUUUAACCAAGCCCUACUCGCAAAACAAGCAUGGUGCCUUUUAGAUACGUCAGACAGCUUAUGUGCUAGGCUCCUAAAGGCGAAAUACUUCCCGGCUGGUAAUUUACUGGAUUCGGUGUUCUCUAACAAUGGAUCCGCAAUGUGGAAAGGGAUUUUAUACGGUCUGGACCUCGUGAAGAAGGGGGUUAUUUGGCGAGUGGGGGAUGGGGCGCUCAUCCGUACUUGGCGCGACCCUUGGAUUCCAAGAGCAACCUCAUUCUGCCCCAUCACUCCUAAACGCACAUCCCGGCUAAACCGUGUGUGA